Molecule: long non-coding RNA, 421 nt
Filed under: Elaeis guineensis (African oil palm)
Lineage: Eukaryota; Viridiplantae; Streptophyta; Magnoliopsida; Arecales; Arecaceae
Description: long non-coding RNA (EGUI_LNC069429)
Source: RNAcentral
GGUAUACCAAGGACCCUCCCUCUUUCGAUGCCACCGUGAUGGAAUCAGAAGAAUCAGUGGGUUGAUAAAGCAAGGGUCUGGAAGCAGCCUCUCUUGAACACGGUGAUUUCUCCUUCUAUUACAUUUUUUUUUUCCAUUUUUAAUUUCUCUAGCAGCUUUAACUUGGUUGUUAUACCGCUAAUCUUAUUGUAAUCUUCUCUUUACCCAGAUACCAAUGCUCCUGUUUCUUUCUCGAAGAUAGAGGAUCACUGGGUGCUCAAGAUUUUUUCAAUCUUUCGCUUGAUGCUUUUUUCCCCUCCUUUCGUUGGUUCCGUUGUUUGAUUUAAACCUUUCUGUUGGAUUUCAUGUUGUUCUGUAAUUUCUAUUUCUUGGACUUCUGAUCCGUUUGUAAUUUCCUUUUCCUGUUGGUUUGAUGACAUUA